This 72-nucleotide transfer RNA is filed under the name Laccaria bicolor S238N-H82. RNAcentral's name for it is "tRNA-Pro (CGG) (tRNA-Pro-CGG-2-1)". It matches the Rfam family "tRNA". From Rfam's summary of the family: Transfer RNA (tRNA) molecules are approximately 80 nucleotides in length. Their secondary structure includes four short double-helical elements and three loops (D, anti-codon, and T loops). Further hydrogen bonds mediate the characteristic L-shaped molecular structure. tRNAs have two regions of fundamental functional importance: the anti-codon, which is responsible for specific mRNA codon recognition, and the 3' end, to which the tRNAs corresponding amino acid is attached (by aminoacyl-tRNA synthetases). tRNAs cope with the degeneracy of the genetic code in two manners: having more than one tRNA (with a specific anti-codon) for a particular amino acid; and 'wobble' base-pairing, i.e. permitting non-standard base-pairing at the 3rd anti-codon position. Lineage: Eukaryota; Fungi; Basidiomycota; Agaricomycetes; Agaricales; Hydnangiaceae. The record is from RNAcentral.
GGCCUGAUGGUCUAGUAGCAUGAUUCCUCGUUCGGGUCGAGGAGGUCCCGGGUUCAACUCCCGGUCAGGCCC